Molecule: ribosomal RNA, 657 nt
Filed under: uncultured bacterium
Lineage: Bacteria
Description: bacterial SSU rRNA
Rfam family: Bacterial small subunit ribosomal RNA
Source: RNAcentral
GUAACACGUGGGUAACCUACCUACAAGCGGGGGAUAACAUUCGGAAACGGAUGCUAAUACCGCAUAGAUCUUUUUGUCUCCUGACAGAAAGAAGAAAGACGGUUUCGGCUGUCACUUGUAGAUGGACCCGCGGCGCAUUAGUUAGUUGGUGAGGUAAUGGCUCACCAAGACGAUGAUGCGUAGCCGACCUGAGAGGGUGAUCGGCCACACUGGGACUGAGACACGGCCCAGACUCCUACGGGAGGCAGCAGUAGGGAAUCUUCCGCAAUGGACGAAAGUCUGACGGAGCAACGCCGCGUGAGUGAAGAAGGUUUUCGGAUCGUAAAACUCUGUUGUUAGAGAAGAACAAGGAUGAGAGUAACUGCUCGUCCCUUGACGGUAUCUAACCAGAAAGCCAUGGCUAACUACGUGCCAGCAGCCGCGGUAAUACGUAGAUGGCAAGCGUUGUCCGGAUUUAUUGGGCGUAAAGCGAGCGCAGGCGGUUCUUUAAGUCUGAUGUGAAAGCCCCUGGCUCAACCAGGGAGGGUCAUUGGAAACUGGAGAACUUGAGUGCAGAAGAGGAAAGUGGAAUUCCAUGUGUAGCGGUGAAAUGCGUAGAUAUAUGGAGGAACACCAGUGGCGAAGGCGACUUUCUGGUCUGUAACUGACGCUGAGGCU